Hemicordylus capensis (graceful crag lizard) is the source of this 659-nucleotide non-coding RNA. Lineage: Eukaryota; Metazoa; Chordata; Lepidosauria; Squamata; Cordylidae. The record is from the annotation of a RefSeq genome assembly.
UGGAAGAAGGAGAAGGAAGGAGAAGGAGAGUGGAGUACAUCUCCUGCAACGGAUGAGGAUGGAGCAGGGUUGGAAGAUUUCCCUGGUGGCCUUGCUGUCUGCCCAAUUCCACUGGAUAAGUGGACAGUUGACUGUGAAGCAGAGCCCACCGUUGCUGGAGAUCUCCGAAGGGCAGAACGCCACCCUCACCUGCUCGGUCUCCCUGAGCAACUUGUAUUGGUACCAGCAGCUUCCCGGUGAAAAGCCCACCGUGCUGAUGCACGUCUUCGGCAGUGGCAGAAAACACGAGGGGAAGCAUUUCAUGGGGCAGUUCAAUUCACAGAAAAGGGAAGGCUAUCUGUACAUCAUAGAUGCUCAGCUGGAACACGGGGCCAACUAUCUCUGCGCUGAGGAUGUGCAAUGAGGCAGCCUGGCUGGGAGCCUGUUCGAAAACCAGAAUGCAAAGCUGCAACCACCAGGCUCACUUCCUGCCCUCAGACACAUGGGUGCCAACUGGUAGAUGGAGGGGACUGUCUCCUAGUCUUGCUGAUGGGAUUUCCCCCUCUCCAAAUAUUUCAUGUAAAUCAGGGUUAUUGGGUUUUUUUUAAUGCUGGGGUCCAUGAGAUAGGCCUAGGCAGUUCCUGGGAAAUCUUGGCCGUCCAGAAUUCAAUUUGCUUCCA